AUGUCCUUCGAUGGCGGUGGACUGCUUUUAGUAUCUACACCGCUAGAUCUUGCUACCUUGCACUCUUUCACAGCUCAAUCACGGACUCCUUUACGAAUCAAGGUAUUCACCUGGCUCGUGCUACAGAAUCGUUGCUGGAUGGUGGAUUGUCUUGCUCGAUGUGGCCUUCCCCAUGAGGAGCGGUGUGUGUGCUAUGUGAUCAGAUUCUCGAAGACAUGCGACACCUUCUCGUUGGUUGCCCCUUCUCCUGUCAGGUGUGGCAUGAGGUGCUCUCAUGGUGCCGAUCCACGACCACUCUUUCGUGGCCGGUAA
This 312-nucleotide ribosomal RNA is filed under the name Triticum aestivum (bread wheat). RNAcentral's name for it is "partial small subunit ribosomal RNA". Lineage: Eukaryota; Viridiplantae; Streptophyta; Magnoliopsida; Poales; Poaceae. The record is from RNAcentral.